GACGAACGCUGGCGGCGUGCUUAACACAUGCAAGUCGAACGGAAAGGCCCUGCUUUUGUGGGGUGCUCGAGUGGCGAACGGGUGAGUAACACUUGAGUAACCUGCCCUUGACUUUGGGAUAACUUCAGGAAACUGGGGCUAAUACCGGAUAGGAGCUCCUGCUGCAUGGUGGGGGUUGGAAAGUUUCGGCGGUUGGGGAUGGACUCGCGGCUUAUCAGCUUGUUGGUGGGGUAGUGGCUUACCAAGGCUUUGACGGGUAGCCGGCCUGAGAGGGUGACCGGACACAUUGGGACUGAGAUACGGCCCAGACUCCUACGGGAGGCAGCAGUGGGGAAUAGUGCACAAUGGGCGGAAGCCUGAUGCAGCAACGCCGCGUGCGGGAUGACGGCCUUCGGGUUGUAAACCGCUUUCGCCUGUGACGAAGCGUGAGUGACGGUAAUGGGUAAAGAAGCACCGGCUAACUACGUG
This 468-nucleotide ribosomal RNA is filed under the name uncultured bacterium. Its description in RNAcentral is "partial 16S ribosomal RNA". It matches the Rfam family "Bacterial small subunit ribosomal RNA", at positions 28 to 507 of the family's 1533-position model. The record is from RNAcentral.